This 1591-nucleotide long non-coding RNA is filed under the name Mus musculus (house mouse). RNAcentral describes it as "long non-coding RNA chr15:6701610-6703201". The record is from RNAcentral. Lineage: Eukaryota; Metazoa; Chordata; Mammalia; Rodentia; Muridae.
UUCCACGGAGACAAGAAAUCAUUAAAUGUUGCUUCUUUAGAACAAAUUCUUCUUUUUAACAUGGCAAUUUACCUCCUCUCCUCUUAAUAUGCCGUGACAUUAGAUAUUAAAAACCCCUCAAAACCAUAGAUAAUAGUAAAAUAUUCAAAGCUUCCCAGAGCCCUGCCCGAAGGUUGUUAAAACUUUAAAUUUCAGUAAAUAAACAAGAGACCCAUGUGCAAAUUUCUAAGCACAGUAGGUGCCCCUCAUUUCUGGUACUCUGUUCAUCUAACACAGCUGAACUCAGUCAUUUCAGUUCCUAGUCAGGGGUUACCGCUGUUGUGUUAGUUCUCACAACUUUGUGUUAUAUAUAUAUAUUUAUAUGUGUGUGUGUGUGUAUAUAUAUAUAUAUUAAAGAUCCCAGGGAGAAUGCCAGAGAGAAUGUGGCAUUCUCUUUGUUUCUUUUACCCCAAGGUCACAGUAUCACGGAGACAUGGUCAAAAAAAUCAUUCCACCGUACAAUGGGCAUUUUCUAUUCUGUUUCUGAUAGUCACUACCUAAAGUCCAAGUAUCACUCAAUUUAAGUAUAAAUUUUCCCAGAAAUUAUAGAGUUCCAUCAGUUUUGUCUUCUGAUUCUUAGUAGUGGUGACAGUUCCCUGUGAUUUUGAUAAUAUAAAGUAUUCUUUAUUGGAUCAUGAUUCCAUUUUCCAGUACAUGCUAGACUUUUCUCCCAAAAGAACUUGUAGUUGCUGCUGAUGGAGGGCAGGGGGCGCAACCAAGCUGGGCUCAGUUUGGUCCACCUCCUGAUACUGGCUCUCCAACCUUGGAUAUUACCUUAGUCUUCUCUCUGCUGUGCCUGUGGCAUUUAUCCCUAGAGUAAUACCACUCACCACGUUUCCUGUUCUUUAUUCUGAUUUUACUGUCCCUACUGAAGAUCAACCACAGGCUUUUUACUUCCCAAGCAAGGACUGUACCACUGAGAUAUACAUCUUGAAUCUCCUAGGUCUCUUAUUUUGGUUUUAUGCUUUGUAGUGGAGGACUUUUGUUUGUUUGUUUGUUUGUUUUUGUUGUUGUUAAGGACUUAUUUAUUUUUUGUAUUUGAGUACACUGUCACUGUCUUCAGACACGGAGGGAUCUCUGGAUGGUUGUGAGCCACCAUAUGGUUGGUAGGAAUUGAACUCAAGACCUCUGGAAGAGCAGUCAGUGCUCUUAACCACGGAGCCAUCUCUGCAGCCCUUGAGGAGGUUUUUUUUGAAGACUCCUUUCUCCAAGAUCGGAAGACAGUCUAUUGAUAGUGUAAAGAUCCACAAUUUACCUGGCAUUUGGUCAGCAGGCUAAGUCUAUACACAGCAUCCCGAGGGACGGAAGAAUUGGGAUUCUACAGAUCCCAGGAGUUCCCAGAGCGGCCUUCCCCCUUAGCUUAUGACUAUAUACCAAGCUAAAUGAAUUUAAGGAGGAUGUUUUAAACUAUACAUCACAAAAUGUACACAUGGUCUAAACACAGUCUUCCAGAGCCAGAUGUGAUGGUCCAUGCCUGCCAUUCCAGCGCUCAAGAGGCUGGGACAGAAGUAUUGCAGGUGCAAAGCCAGCCUGAGCUACAUAGAACCUAUCC